ACGUAGGGGGGCAAGCGUUGUUCGGAAUUAUUGGGCGUAAAGGGCAUGUAGGCGGUUAUGUAAGCCUGGUGUGAAAUCCUGCAGCUUAACUGUAGAAUUGCAUUGGGUACUGCAAGACUUGAAUCACAGAGGGGAAACUAGAAUUCCAGGUGUAGGGGUGGAAUCUGUAGAUAUCUGGAAGAAUACCGGUGGCGAAGGCGGGUUUCUAGCUGAUGAUUGACGCUGAGGUGCGAAAGUGCGGGGAGCAAACAGGAUUAGAUACCCUGGUAGUCCGCACAGUAAACGAUGUACACUAGGUGUCGGGGCAUGAGUCUCGGUGCCGAAGCUAACGUGAUAAGUGUACCGCCUGGGAAGUAUGCCCGCAAGGGUG
Molecule: ribosomal RNA, 370 nt
Filed under: uncultured bacterium
Lineage: Bacteria
Description: bacterial SSU rRNA
Rfam family: Bacterial small subunit ribosomal RNA
Source: RNAcentral